AUUGAACGCUGGCGGCAGGCCUAACACAUGCAAGUCGAGCGGAUGAAGGGAGCUUGCUCCUGGAUUCAGCCGCGGACGGGUGAGUAAUGCCUAGGAAUCUGCCUGGUAGUGGGGGAUAACGUCCGGAAACGGGCGCUAAUACCGCAUACGUCCUGAGGGAGAAAGUGGGGGAUCUUCGGACCUCACGCUAUCAGAUGAGCCUAGGUCGGAUUAGCUAGUUGGUGGGGUAAAGGCCUACCAAGGCGACGAUCCGUAACUGGUCUGAGAGGAUGAUCAGUCACACUGGAACUGAGACACGGUCCAGACUCCUACGGGAGGCAGCAGUGGGGAAUAUUGGACAAUGGGAGAAAGCCUGAUCCAGCCAUGCCGCGUGUGUGAAGAAGGUCUUCGGAUUGUAAAGCACUUUAAGUUGGGAGGAAGGACAGUAAGUUAAUACCUUGCUGUUUUGACGUUACCAACAGAAUAAGCACCGGCUAACUUCGUG
RNAcentral lists this ribosomal RNA (484 nucleotides) under uncultured bacterium. RNAcentral describes it as "partial 16S ribosomal RNA". It matches the Rfam family "Bacterial small subunit ribosomal RNA", at positions 30 to 507 of the family's 1533-position model. The record is from RNAcentral.